Molecule: ribosomal RNA, 253 nt
Filed under: uncultured bacterium
Lineage: Bacteria
Description: partial 16S ribosomal RNA
Rfam family: Bacterial small subunit ribosomal RNA
Source: RNAcentral
UACGAAGGGGGCUAGCGUUGCUCGGAAUCACUGGGCGUAAAGGGUGCGUAGGCGGGUCUUUAAGUCAGGGGUGAAAUCCUGGAGCUCAACUCCAGAACUGCCUUUGAUACUGAGGAUCUUGAGUCCGGGAGAGGUGAGUGGAACUGCGAGUGUAGAGGUGAAAUUCGUAGAUAUUCGGAAGAACACCAGUGGCGAAGGCGACUUACUGGACACAUAUUGACGCUGAGGUGCGAAAGCGUGGGGAGCAAACAGG